RNAcentral lists this transfer RNA (123 nucleotides) under Hemiselmis andersenii. Its description in RNAcentral is "tRNA-Phe". The record is from RNAcentral. Lineage: Eukaryota; Cryptophyceae; Cryptomonadales; Hemiselmidaceae.
AAAUAAAUAAAAAUUUAAUAAGUAUUUUGCGGCAACCCAGGGAUUCUUUAAAAUCGAACUAGGGACCUUUAGAUCUUCAGUCUAACGCUCUCCUUCAGUUUGACAACUGAGCUAUUACCGCUU